RNAcentral lists this ribosomal RNA (468 nucleotides) under uncultured bacterium. RNAcentral's name for it is "partial 16S ribosomal RNA". It matches the Rfam family "Bacterial small subunit ribosomal RNA", at positions 28 to 507 of the family's 1533-position model. The record is from RNAcentral.
GACGAACGCUGGCGGCGUGCUUAACACAUGCAAGUCGAACGGAAAGGCCCUGCUUUUGUGGGGUGCUCGAGUGGCGAACGGGUGAGUAACACGUGAGUAACCUGCCCUUGAUUUUGGGAUAACUUCAGGAAACUGGGGCUAAUAUCGGAUAGGAGCUCCUGCUGCAUGGUGGGGGUUGGAAAGUUUCGGCGGUUGGGGAUGGACUCGCGGCUUAUCAGCUUGUUGGUGGGGUAGUGGCUUACCAAGGCUUUGACGGGUAGCCGGCCUGAGAGGGUGACCGGCCACAUUGGGACUGAGAUACGGCCCAGACUCCUACGGGAGGCAGCAGUGGGGAAUAUUGCACAAUGGGCGGAAGCCUGAUGCAGCAACGCCGCGUGCGGGAUGACGGCCUUCGGGUUGUAAACCGCUUUCGCCUGUGACGAAGCGUGAGUGACGGUAAUGGGUAAAGAAGCACCGGCUAACUACGUG